Molecule: transfer RNA, 65 nt
Filed under: Dipodomys ordii (Ord's kangaroo rat)
Lineage: Eukaryota; Metazoa; Chordata; Mammalia; Rodentia; Heteromyidae
Rfam family: tRNA
About the family: Transfer RNA (tRNA) molecules are approximately 80 nucleotides in length.
Source: Rfam by way of RNAcentral
GGUGGCUCAGUGGUAGAGUGCUUGCCUUGCAUGCAGGAGACCCUGGGUUCGAUUCCUCAGCACCA